GUUGAAAAUGCAAUAUCUUUGAUUUAAAGAGAGAGAGAGAGAGAAAGUUUUCUAUUGAGUGUGCCAUUGAUGGUGAGGAGUUAUUCAGCUGUGCAAGACAUAAAUGUCUUGGCCUAGCAUUGUGUCUUUUGAAUAGGAGGCAUAGCAAUACACCUAAUUGGGUGUUAUACAUUGUAUGUGGAUUGCUAGUGUACAGAGAGUGGACACACCUCAACUUGAACGCCAUGAGGAAAGGAGAGUUGGUUCUGGCUGCUCUGAAAACGCAGUUGAAGAUAAUUUGUCUUUUUUGAACUUGCUAAUAUUAUGCAAGAACUACUAAUUUUUCUUAUCCAAGGGCAGAAGAGUUAGCCUGUUACAUCAGUGUAAACUUAACAAUUUUUCAAGCCUGUGAAACUCAAGCCAUCGAUGGCACGUGAUGUUGGGACUUAGGACGAAAUACAUAAUCUGGAUGACUGAGUUGGCGGUUUGAACUACAUCGAAGUCAAGUCACCCGCACGGCAGUUCCAAACCUUCGAUUUAAAGGCAGACUGUCAUCAAUCGUUGAACCGGUGAGCUGUAUAAAAGCCAGAUAAUGCUUGAAAUGAAACUGUUAUACAGAGAAAAGAUGUCAGUUGAAGAAAACCUGAACUGAGACGUUAUAACUCUUUGAUUGUCAGUUAAGACAAUGUUUUUUUGUUUUAUUUUUUCGUCGAUGCUUUCAUUGUUGAAGGGCGAGUGGCCCAGGCCAGAAGGCCUAUAUAUUCGAGUUCGUGCACUGAACAAAUUGUAGAAGUUGAUUGUAGAAGUUAAUUGUAGUGUGUGUGUGUGUAUUUGAGUUUUAUCAGACGUGUAUCAAUCAGAUAUGAUUAUUUACGUCUGGGACCGACCUUUAACGUCACCGUCCGAAAGACGUGACCAGGGCUCGAACCUCGAACCUCUGCAUCAAUUUGUAACUUCCCCACAGCUUGGAUUACAGGCGCACGCCACAACGCCCAGUUAAAGAAGUAGAAGUUGAUUGUAGAAGGUGAUUGUAGAAGUUGAUUGUAGAAGUUGAUUGUAUGAGUUAAAACUCGACACAGUUCUGGUGUCCGUUUCAACUCGUUUAUUGACCGGUAUAGAGAACUUAUGAUAUUCGAAUUGAGAGUUGACUAACAGUAUAGGAUGGUAUAUGAGAAAUAUUACAUACUAAAGUGAUAUCCAAACAUACAAAAAUUAUAUGCCAAGUGGUGAAGGAUAGAUAGGCUAAUUCAGGGCCUAAUCCCAUCAUUGUUGGAGUGAGGUAUAUGUAUGGAUAGUGAGACAUUAUAUUCACUUAAUGCUAAUUGUGCUAAAUAAACGCUGAUGAUUGUUCUUUAUGCUAAA
Lytechinus pictus (painted urchin) is the source of this 1341-nucleotide long non-coding RNA. RefSeq lists it as uncharacterized. The record is from RefSeq and is a predicted model, not a curated record. The transcript has 2 exons. NCBI's taxonomy places the organism in Eukaryota, Metazoa, Echinodermata, Echinoidea, Temnopleuroida, Toxopneustidae.